UACGUAGGGGGCAAGCGUUGUCCGGAUUUAUUGGGCGUAAAGAGCGUGUAGGCGGCCACACAGGUCAGCUGUGAAAACUCGAGGCUCAACCUCGAGACGUCGGUUGAAACCGUAUGGCUAGAGUCCGGAAGAGGAGUGUGGAAUUCCCGGUGUAGCGGUGAAAUGCGCAGAUAUCGGGAAGAACACCCGUGGCGAAGGCGGCACUCUGGGACGGUACUGACGCUGAGGAGCUAAAGCGUGGGGAGCGAACAGG
Molecule: ribosomal RNA, 253 nt
Filed under: uncultured bacterium
Lineage: Bacteria
Description: partial 16S ribosomal RNA
Rfam family: Bacterial small subunit ribosomal RNA
Source: RNAcentral